This 376-nucleotide ribosomal RNA is filed under the name uncultured bacterium. Its description in RNAcentral is "bacterial SSU rRNA". It matches the Rfam family "Bacterial small subunit ribosomal RNA", at positions 521 to 896 of the family's 1533-position model. The record is from RNAcentral.
UAAGACGAACCGUGCAAACGUUAUUCGGAAUCACUGGGCUUAAAGGGCGCGUAGGCGGGCAACCAAGUCCGGGGUGAAAUCCUCCAGCUCAACUGGAGAAGUGCCUCGGAUACUGGCUGCCUCGAGGAGGGUAGGGGCAUCUGGAACUAGCGGUGGAGCGGUGAAAUGCGUUGAUAUCGCUAGGAACUCCGGUGGCGAAGGCGAGGUGCUGGACCCUUUCUGACGCUGAGGCGCGAAAGCCAGGGGAGCGAACGGGAUUAGAUACCCCGGUAGUCCUGGCCCUAAACGAUGAGAACUAGAUAGCGGACUUGAUAUGAGUGCGCUGUCGGAGCAAAAGUGCUAAGUUCUCCGCCUGGGGAGUAUGGUCGCAAGGCUG